Molecule: ribosomal RNA, 497 nt
Filed under: uncultured bacterium
Lineage: Bacteria
Description: partial 16S ribosomal RNA
Rfam family: Bacterial small subunit ribosomal RNA
Source: RNAcentral
GAUGAACGCUGGCGGCGUGCCUAAUACAUGCAAGUCGAGCGAACAGACGAGGAGCUUGCUCCUCUGACGUUAGCGGCGGACGGGUGAGUAACACGUGGAUAACCUACCUAUAAGACUGGGAUAACUUCGGGAAACCGGAGCUAAUACCGGAUAAUAUAUUGAACCGCAUGGUUCAAUAGUGAAAGACGGUUUUGCUGGCACUUAUAGAUGGAUCCGCGCCGCAUUAGCUAGUUGGUAAGGUAACGGCUUACCAAGGCAACGAUGCGUAGCCGACCGGAGAGGGGGAUCGGCCACACUGGAACUGAGACACGGUCCAGACUCCUACGGGAGGCAGCAGUAGGGAAUCUUCCGCAAUGGGCGAAAGCCUGACGGAGCAACGCCGCGUGAGUGAUGAAGGUCUUCGGAUCGUAAAACUCUGUUAUUAGGGAAGAACAAAUGUGUAAGUAACUAUGCACGUCUUGACGGUACCUAAUCAGAAAGCCACGGCUAACUACGUG